RNAcentral lists this ribosomal RNA (954 nucleotides) under uncultured eukaryote. RNAcentral's name for it is "eukaryotic LSU rRNA". The stretch from base 1 to 241 matches the Rfam family "Eukaryotic small subunit ribosomal RNA", at positions 1593 to 1831 of the family's 1831-position model. The record is from RNAcentral.
UUGCUCUUCAACGAGGAAUGCCUAGUAAGCGCGAGUCAUCAGCUCGCGUUGAUUACGUCCCUGCCCUUUGUACACACCGCCCGUCGCUCCUACCGAUUGGGUGUGCUGGUGAAGCGUUCGGAUUGGCGUUAGUGGGCGGUUUUCCGCCUCCUCUCACUGAGAAGUUCGUUAAACCCUCCCACCUAGAGGAAGGAGAAGUCGUAACAAGGUUUCCGUAGGUGAACCUGCGGAAGGAUCAUUGAAUCUAACGUGCCCACACCGCGAAACUACUUAUGCCCUUCUGGAACAGGCAAACUUUAUUGUUUGCCCUUCAGUUGCGCAGGUCAGGGGCUGGCUCCUUUUGGUGUCAGUUGACUUGACUGGGCGGGUCCAAUACCAGCCGGAUUCACCUUGCCUUCUAGGCUUGGGGUUCUGCCGGCUGUGAGGGGUGGCUGUUUAACUCACUUUAAGCAAUCAAUUCUGAAGGCAGAUCUAUAGGCUGGCUAUGCUGGCUGUAGUCUGAUUAAAUAUAGACAACUCUCAACAACGGAUAUCUUGGCUCCCGUAACGAUGAAGAACGCAGCGAAAUGCGAUACGUAGUGUGAAUUGCAGAAUUCCGUGAACCAUCGAAUCUUUGAACGCAAAUUGCGCUCGAGGCCUCGGCCAAGAGCAUGUCUGCCUCAGCGUCGGCUACUACCCUCAACUAAGUUUCCUAUACACAUAGGGGAUGCCGGUUGGAUCUGGCCGUCCGGUUUGCCUUUUAGGUUGCCGGUCAGCUGAAAUACAUUCACGCUCUGGGGGCUGCUUUCCUUCCGAGGAGAGGCGAGUUCCGAUUUGGUAGGUGACCUUUGCCGGUUGCAUGCCUUCGUUGCCCGCUAAGCUUUCCAGUAUGCGUUGUGCAGGACGCCUUUUGGCUUUCGACCUGAGGUCAGGCAAGAACACCCGCUGAACUUAAGCAUAUCAAUAAGCGGAGGA